This 591-nucleotide ribosomal RNA is filed under the name uncultured Burkholderia sp. RNAcentral's name for it is "bacterial SSU rRNA". It matches the Rfam family "Bacterial small subunit ribosomal RNA", at positions 418 to 1003 of the family's 1533-position model. The record is from RNAcentral. Lineage: Bacteria; Pseudomonadati; Pseudomonadota; Betaproteobacteria; Burkholderiales; Burkholderiaceae.
UCGGGUUGUAAAGCACUUUUGUCCGGAAAGAAAACGUUCUCCCUAAUAUGGAGAGCGGAUGACGGUACCGGAAGAAUAAGCACCGGCUAACUACGUGCCAGCAGCGCGGUAAUCGUAGGGUGCAAGCGUUAAUCGGAAUUACUGGGCGUAAAGCGUGCGCAGGCGGUUCGCUAAGACCGAUGUGAAAUCCCCGGGCUUAACCUGGGAACUGCAUUGGUGACUGGCGGGCUAGAGUAUGGCAGAGGGGGGUAGAAUUCCACGUGUAGCAGUGAAAUGCGUAGAGAUGUGGAGGAAUACCGAUGGCGAAGGCAGCCCCCUGGGCCAAUACUGACGCUCAUGCACGAAAGCGUGGGGAGCAAACAGGAUUAGAUACCCUGGUAGUCCACGCCCUAAACGAUGUCAACUGGUUGUCGGGCCUUCAUUGGCUUGGUAACGUAGCUAACGCGUGAAGUUGACCGCCUGGGGAGUACGGUCGCAAGAUUAAAACUCAAAGGAAUUGACGGGGACCCGCACAAGCGGUGGAUGAAGGUGGAUUAAUUCGAUGCAACGCGAAAAACCUUACCUACCCUUGACAUGUACGGAACCUUGCUG